AUUCCAGCUCCAAUAGCGUAUAUUAAAGUUGUUGCGGUUAAAAAGCUCGUAGUUGGAUCUCGGCGGGCAGGGGGUGGUUCGCUCUUCAGCGCUACUGCCCCGCUUUGCCCGUGUGAUUGGCGGAGGUUUCGGGGUGCUCUUCGUUGAGUGACUCGGAGCGCCGUCAGGUUUACUUUGAAAAAAUUAGAGUGCUCAAAGCAGGCUUUUCACGCUUGAAUAUUCGUGCAUGGAAUAAUGGAAUAGGAACUCGUUUCUAUUUUGUUGGUUUUCGGAAAUCGAGUUAAUGAUUAACAGGGACAAUUGGGGGCAUUAGUAUUCAGACGACAGAGGUGAAAUUCUUGGAUUUAUGAAAGAUGAACUUAUGCGAAAGCAUUUACCAUGGAUGUUUUCAUUA
This 394-nucleotide ribosomal RNA is filed under the name Oithona sp. RNAcentral describes it as "partial small subunit ribosomal RNA". It matches the Rfam family "Eukaryotic small subunit ribosomal RNA", at positions 582 to 975 of the family's 1831-position model. Lineage: Eukaryota; Metazoa; Arthropoda; Copepoda; Cyclopoida; Oithonidae. The record is from RNAcentral.